AGUGAACGCUGGCGGUAGGCCUAACACAUGCAAGUCGAACGGCAGCACAGUAAGAGCUUGCUCUUACAGGUGGCGAGUGGCGGACGGGUGAGGAAUACAUCGGAAUCUACUUUUUCGUGGGGGAUAACGUAGGGAAACUUACGCUAAUACCGCAUACGACCUACGGGUGAAAGCAGGGGAUCUUCGGACCUUGCGCGAUUGAAUGAGCCGAUGUCGGAUUAGCUAGUUGGCGGGGUAAAGGCCCACCAAGGCGACGAUCCGUAGCUGGUCUGAGAGGAUGACCGCCCCCCCUGGAAUGGGAACCCGGCCCAAACCCCUGGGGGGGGCCGCGGUGGGAAUUUUUGGAAAGGGGGGCAAACCCGGGUCCACCCUUCCCGGGUGGGUGAAGAGGCCCUUCGGGUUGUAAAGCCCUUUUUUGGGAAAAAAAAAGCGGCAGGUUAAUCCCCCGUUUUUGUGGGGGACCCCAAAGAAAAAGCCCCGGCUACCUUCG
RNAcentral lists this ribosomal RNA (490 nucleotides) under uncultured bacterium. Its description in RNAcentral is "partial 16S ribosomal RNA". It matches the Rfam family "Bacterial small subunit ribosomal RNA", at positions 29 to 505 of the family's 1533-position model. The record is from RNAcentral.